RNAcentral lists this small RNA (539 nucleotides) under Oryza sativa Japonica Group (Japanese rice). RNAcentral describes it as "sRNA Os02g0777950". The record is from RNAcentral. Lineage: Eukaryota; Viridiplantae; Streptophyta; Magnoliopsida; Poales; Poaceae.
CUUAACUAUACAAAACCGGUCACAAUAGGUCCCUCGGUGGUUUUGGUCCCGGUUUUAUCCUACGUGACUGUUGAGUCAGCGUGAGACCCACGUGGGACCCACAUGUCAGCCUGUCCAGGUCAGCUUCUCUUUCUUUCCCCUCUUCUCUCCCUUCCUCUUCCAGUCUUCCCUCUCUCUCACUCUUCUCUCUAGGGCUCUGGGCAGGCCGGCGGACCGACGAGGCGAGGCGGGAGAGGAGGUCCGGCGGCCGGUGGCGGCGGCGGAGACGACGCGGGAGCAGGGGAGCAAGUCGGCGACGGCGGCGAGAUGCCCAUGGCGAGGUACUGGAGGCGGAGCUCCGUCGGGACGGGGAGCGGGACGAUGGCGGCGGACGGCGGGCACGGAUCGCGUCGCCCGCCCGUGGCGACGCCAGCGCCGGCAUCGCCCGCCCGCACGCGAUCUCCCCCACCGCCGAUCUAAUGAUCAGCACUAUGCACUACAUGGCAACCAUUGGUGGUAGUGUGGUACUAGUCGUGGCUAACUAACUGGAGGAUUUCCUC